Non-coding RNA from Pelobates cultripes (western spadefoot toad), 207 nucleotides. NCBI's taxonomy places the organism in Eukaryota, Metazoa, Chordata, Amphibia, Anura, Pelobatidae. The record is from the annotation of a GenBank genome assembly.
CCCGACACUACAACCUGUCCGUAGAGCUGCAACUCGGAAACUCCAUUACCUACAGGGUCAUCAGCUGUCUCAUCAGGCUGCACGCGGCCCACGUACCAAUGAAGACCAAUGCACCCAGAGUUCUCGAGAUUACUGCCUGGUAGCCGGGAGAGGAGCAUGUGGCUACAAGAGCUAGAGAGCAGAGGUGAGACAGAGUGUCCAGGGAGG